GCAUCCCAGCAUCACACGGGAGGGGUGGUCCCCCAAUGCAAUAUUCCACCUCUCCACCAAUUCCAAUAUUGGUGGCCAGUGGUGGGAGGGGCUUUCUGGUGUGCUAGUAUGGGGUGUUGUGGACUGAAGGGACUGGUUUGCAGA
Molecule: long non-coding RNA, 144 nt
Organism: Amblyraja radiata (thorny skate)
Lineage: Eukaryota; Metazoa; Chordata; Chondrichthyes; Rajiformes; Rajidae
Exons: 3
Source: RefSeq, a predicted model, not a curated record